RNAcentral lists this ribosomal RNA (410 nucleotides) under Escherichia coli. Its description in RNAcentral is "bacterial SSU rRNA". It matches the Rfam family "Bacterial small subunit ribosomal RNA", at positions 1 to 405 of the family's 1533-position model. Lineage: Bacteria; Pseudomonadati; Pseudomonadota; Gammaproteobacteria; Enterobacterales; Enterobacteriaceae. The record is from RNAcentral.
UUAAAUUGAAGAGUUUGAUCAUGGCUCAGAUUGAACGCUGGCGGCAGGCCUAACACAUGCAAGUCGAACGGUAACAGGAAGCAGCUUGCUGCUUUGCUGACGAGUGGCGGACGGGUGAGUAAUGUCUGGGAAACUGCCCGAUGGAGGGGGAUAACUACUGGAAACGGUAGCUAAUACCGCAUAACGUCGCAAGACCAAAGAGGGGGACCUUAGGGCCUCUUGCCAUCGGAUGUGCCCAGAUGGGAUUAGCUAGUAGGUGGGGUAACGGCUCACCUAGGCGACGAUCCCUAGCUGGUCUGAGAGGAUGACCAGCCACACUGGAACUGAGACACGGUCCAGACUCCUACGGGAGGCAGCAGUGGGGAAUAUUGCACAAUGGGCGCAAGCCUGAUGCAGCCAUACCGCGUGUA